Molecule: non-coding RNA, 439 nt
Organism: Nicotiana tabacum (common tobacco)
Lineage: Eukaryota; Viridiplantae; Streptophyta; Magnoliopsida; Solanales; Solanaceae
Source: RefSeq, a predicted model, not a curated record
UUGGAGAUGAGGAGCUCAUUAAGUGUGGCAAGCUCAAUCUUGUUGAUUUAGCAGGAUCAGAAAAUAUUUCUCGAUCAGGUGCACGAGAGGCUCGUGCAAGAGAAGCGGGGGAAAUCAAUAAGAGUUUGCUUACUCUUGGUCGUGUUAUAACAGCUUUGGUUGAACACUCUAUUCACAUAGCUUAGGUUCAAGUGCAAUCAUGCCCCGUGCUACUGCUCAACGCCCCGUGAGGCCGUGCUACUGCUCAAGACUGUUUGUUGAGGGAUGCCCUCUCUGUUUUUUGUUGCACUAUGUUUAACUGUUUAAGUGUUAAGACUGUGCAGACUUGCAGUUGGCCAGUUGCAGUGUUGCACUGUGUUUAAGUGUUAAUACUUAAGGGUUAAGACUGUUUUUGUUGGACUGUGUUUAACUUGUUUAACUGUGUUUAAGUUGUUGGACU